UCGUAGCGUCUUCGGGUGUGCGGCGCAUGCGCACAUGCUCCUUCAGCGGAGAUGAUCCUGAGCAAGCGGUAGGAAUGAUGAUGAUGGUGAUGCUGCGCGGAUACAACAACAUCCAGAAUAAAACCCUGACGCAUCGAUCAGACGCUUUAUCCUGAUGAUCAAACCAGAUUACAUGGGCUCGUGCGCACCAGCGGCGGAAACACACGGCUUUCAUCAAUGCAUGAUAACUGAAACCUAAUAGAAGGGAAGCAGGAGAAUGAGGCUUGUAGAUAAACAAUGGCAGCAGGGGCAGCGGAUGGUGAUUUACGGGACGGUCUUCCUCAUCACGACCCUCCUCAUCCUCUACAGCUCGAACAGCUCAGCUGAUCUUUACAGCUCCUUUAAAGUCAGUGAGUUUCAUCACAAGGUCAAAAACACCAACCUCAAGAAAUGGGCUGGGAAGGAGGGAUACCUUCCUGUUUACGGCAACAAGAGCAUGAACCUGCACUGCCAUCAGUGUGCAUUAGUGACCAGCUCUAGUCACAUGUUGGGGACUCACGCUGGAGAUGAGAUCGACCGCACGGAGUGCGUCAUCCGCAUGAAUGACGCUCCGACCUCUGGGUAUGCAUCAGACGUGGGGAACCGGACCAGUGUGCGCGUCGUGGCUCAUUCCAGCGUAUUCCGGGUCAUCCGCAAACCUGCGGAGUUCCUCAAUCGCUCAGAAAUCUCCGCCAUCAUAUUCUGGGGCCCGUCGUCAAAGAUCGGACAUGACUCGAAGGGAACUCUGUACCGGCUGAUCCAGAGAGUCAGUAUGACCUACAGUAACCUGUCCUUCUUCAUCAUCUCGCCCAGCAAAAUGCAGAAGUUUGACACGCUCUUUCAGAAAGAGACCGGCCGAGACAGAAAAAAGUCUCAGUCCUGGUUAAGCACGGGCUGGUUUACCAUGGUGAUUGCAAUUGAGAUGUGUGAUAACAUCAAGGUUUAUGGGAUGGUACCGCCAAACCAUUGUGGUCGGAGGCGAUAUGUAGCGCGGUUGAACUUCAAGUGACCCGAGUUCGAGUCCCGGCCUGGGGGACCUUUCUCAAUCCUGUCCCCCUCUCUCUCCCACUUCACUUCCUGUCAGGUCUCUAUACUGUUGAUUUUUAAUGAUAAUUUGUGAACCUUUAAAGACAGCCCUACUCUGAGCUAACUUAUUUUUAAAAUAAUUGUGUUUAACAGCAGAAUCUGCGGUGAAAAACUACAUUACCCAUGAUGCUGUACAGAAAAUUCCACCAAUCAGAGUUGUGAAAAUCAAAAUAUCUCUGUAGCUCCACCCACUCCCACGAAGAACCGUGAAUGAUGUAAUCGAGUUGGUCUCCCUACGCUCUCAAAGUUAAAUCAAAGAAGUUUGCAAUGUGAUUCACCUCGUAGCUGAUUGGCUUGCUUCAUGGCUUAUGAAAAAGAAACACCCUCAGCCCAAACGAAUGCCCUAUCACUAUUACAAACCCAGAGGUCCAGACGAGUGUGUAACGUACCUGCAGCACGAGAGAGGGCGCUGGGGAUCACACCAUCGCUUCAUCACUGAGAAACAGGUGUUUGCACACUGGGCCAAGCAGUACAACAUCAGCUACGCCCACCCAACGUGGUGAACAACACGUGAGAAAACAAUCCAGCACAUCCAGCCUGGUGAGUUGGAUCCAACAUGGCGCCUUUUGUACCUCGGUGACCUUCUGAUCCAAAAUGGCUACCAUUUCAAACACAUUGCCUGCUCAGAAACAUAUCCAGUAUGGCUGCUCUUUGAUCUGGAUUAGAAACUGAGCCAAAAUUGAGGCCAUUCAGGGAUCCAGGAACAUGGGUGGACAAUCUUUGUUUUCUUUUGGAAAAUGAACAGAUUGAACUUUAAUUGUCUUGAGCAUGACAUCUACCUAUUACUGCCAUAAAGUACACCUUCUCUUACACAGGUUUUCACCCAUAAUCCAUAAUUUCUCAGAGAAUGGAUGCCUUUUGGAAUGAGAAAUGCUUUGUAUCAGUUGCCAAAUGAAAGAUUCAGUUACAUCUUGUGGUACAAUCAACACAUUUGAAUGUUGAAUGUAAAAGUAUCAGAGUAUAGGAAUGAGAAUUGAAAGAACUUUACAAGAUUGUUUUAUUUUGUAAAUAAGAACUAUGUAAAUUAUUAUUAUUCCAAAACAAACAAAAAAUAUUUUUACAAGUUUAUAUGGUUUUAAAAUGCCCUAAACAAAACAGUAUUACCAUAAACUAUUAAAAAACACCUUUUAAACAACCAAGUAAAAGGUCCUUUUAAAUCACAUCGUUUUCAGAUGAACGGCACAUUUUGUGUAUUUUUUUGGGAAGCUGUUGGAAUGGAGUUGUUUAUGCCUUUAUAUCUAAAAAAACGAUAUAGUAACGAUAACGAUUAAAACAUCCACUACAAGAACAUGUCUGGGUCAUUUUUUGCCACAUAAUCAAAGAAAAACUAAGAAAAUCUAUGAAUCCCGGGCCUACAGUAUCUAGAAGCAUUCAUGUUUUGCAUUAUGACAAUUUCAAUACUGAAAUGUGGAAAUUGAUUUCAAUUGUACAGUAUGUGUACAUGAUGUAAAUUAUACAUCAUUGUCAUAUUUUUUGUAAGUAAUAUAUGCUGAUUUAAAAACAAAUUUAAAACAUUGGUGUCCAUAUAUUAUGAUUUUCAUUACUGUAUUACUAUGCUGGAGUGUUAAUAUCAACUAAAACUAUUAAAAAUCAUUUCCUAUAAUUGAAAUAAAGCUGAAAUAAAAUAAAAGUAUUAGAUGAGAAAUGUAGAUUUAAAAAAAUAAAUAAAUAAAAUAAGUUGAAGUACUAAAAUUAUGAAAACUAAAAUAAAUUAAACCCAAAUAAUUUUUUAAAAAUAAAAUUGACAAAAUCACAUAAAAUAUUUAAAACAAAAAAUUACUAAAACUAAAUUAAACCCAAAUAUUUUUUAAGCUAAAAUUGGCAAAAGCACAUAAAAUUAUUAAAUCUAACUAUAUAUAUAUAUAUAUAUAUAUAUAUAUAUAUAUAUAUAUACAUCAUUGUCAUAUUUGUUGCACUGAAAGUAAUAUAUGCUGAUUAAAAAAUUUAUUAUUUUAUUUAUUUAUUAUGAUUUUUAUUAUGCUGGAGUGUUAAUAUCAACUAAAACUAUUAAAAAAUCAUUUCCAUUAAUUGAAAUAAAGCUGAAAAAAAAAAUAAAAGUAUUAAAAGUAUUAAAUAAGAUCUGUAGAUUAAGAAAUAAAAUAAGUUGAAGUACUAAAAUUACUAAAACUAAAAUAAACUAAACCCAAAUAAUUUUUAAAAUCAAAUUGACAAAAGCACAUUAAAUUACAAAUAAAUAAAUAAAAUAAAAAUAAUACAUUGUCAUAUUUGUUGCACUAAAUGUAAUAUAUGCCGAUUAAAAAAAAAACAAAAAAACAUUGGUGUCCAUAUAUUAUGACUUUCAUUACUGUAUUAUUAUGCUGGAGUGUUAAUAUCAACUAAAACUAUUAAAAAUUCCAUUAAUUGAAAUAAAGCUGAAAUAAAAUAAAAGUAUUAGAUGAGAAAUGUAGAUUUAAAACUGAAAAAAAGUAAGUUAAAGUACUAAAAUUACUAAAACUAAAAUAAUAUUAAACUAAAAUUAUAUUUAAAAUGUAAAAUAUUUAAACUAAAAUUAACAAAAGCACAUAACAUUAAUAAAACAAAAUCUUAAACUGAAAAUAUAAAAAUAAAAGCUAUAUAUAUAGUAUAUAAAUAAUACUAAAAUAACAAUGUUGGGAUUUUUCCGCAAUGCAAAUUACAUAAUUUUAAUUUUAAAUGCAUCACAAAACAUCUUACUGGACCUAAUAUUGGCUUUUCUUUUGAUUGUGGGUGAAAUAUGACCUGGACAUAUCUCUGUGAAGUUCAACCAACAAGAAGAAAAAUAUAUACAAAUAUUCAUCAACACCAACAAUCACAAACAUACUGUGUUGCGUUUAAAGUGAUGUCAGCGGUGUGUAGAGGCCUUUCGGUUUAUGACGACCUUUUUAACAAGUAGUUCUGAUGUUAUUGAUCAGUUGUACAGUUUGAAUUUUCCUGGCUACAGCUGUUAGUGUAAAAACACACACGUUUAAAUAUCACGCCGAAUCGCUUUAUUUCUAAAUGAGUAUUUUCAUAUGACUGUUGUAAAUGCUCUUCUCUCAUUGGACGAUGCCUUUUCUGGCACUGUGCAUUGGAGAACUCAAGUUGUUGUUGGUAACAGGUAGUCCAGGUAACUUACGUGCUGCUUUGAAUGUCUUGCCUUCGAUUUGUACAAGACCCAUAAAUAACAGCUGAUAAAUAACAAAACCGCUCGGGUUCAUACAGAAUUCAGUUGAUCUUGAAAAUAAUCAACAAGCAUGAGAAGAACUCGUAGAUUUGAAUGACAAAUUUCACUGUAAACAUCCGAAACGUUAAAUUUUUAAAUUUAAUUUUCAAGUCCUGCUCGAAAUGAUCUCAAUUAUCACCCUUAAUGUUGAAACCUCAUUGUUUCUUUCAUUUCGUUCUUUAAAAUGCCCAAGCACAAGAGCAGAGGGAUUGUGGGUAAUGGGGCAUUGUAUUAAGAUGAACUGAUCUGGACAGGGUUUCAGACUGAAAUCAGUAUGUACCAUUAUGAUAAUGAUGAUUAUUACUCAUGGUUGCAGUAUUAUGACAGUAUAUGAGCGGAUUGUUUUGCUCAUUGCUCAUUAUGAAUGUUCUUUACAUGCCUGUCUUGAAAAAAUAAAUGUAUACGUUUAAAAACAGA
Ctenopharyngodon idella (grass carp) is the source of this 4702-nucleotide RNA transcript. It is a transcript of the gene named ST6 (alpha-N-acetyl-neuraminyl-2,3-beta-galactosyl-1,3)-N-acetylgalactosaminide alpha-2,6-sialyltransferase 6, with no coding region annotated. The record is from RefSeq and is a predicted model, not a curated record. Lineage: Eukaryota; Metazoa; Chordata; Actinopteri; Cypriniformes; Xenocyprididae. The transcript is spliced from 8 exons.